UUUACUUAACAUUUUCGAGGAUGGAACGGUCGGUUGGGUCGUGAUUUGUGCAAAUAUGUUAUUUCGUUCAUAUUGCACCAGUCCCGGCCUGACUGCUCUUCCAGGACCACGCCGGGGUGUUGGAGGGA
Molecule: microRNA precursor, 128 nt
Filed under: Tribolium castaneum (red flour beetle)
Lineage: Eukaryota; Metazoa; Arthropoda; Insecta; Coleoptera; Tenebrionidae
Description: microRNA tca-mir-92c precursor
Gene: tca-mir-92c
Source: miRBase by way of RNAcentral